RNAcentral lists this ribosomal RNA (119 nucleotides) under Salmo salar (Atlantic salmon). The record is from RNAcentral. Lineage: Eukaryota; Metazoa; Chordata; Actinopteri; Salmoniformes; Salmonidae.
CUUUACGGCCAUACCAGCCUGGGUACGCCCGAUCUCGUCUGAUCUCGGAAGCUAAGCAGGGUCGGGCCUGGUUAGUACUUGGAUGGGAGACCGCCUGGGAAUACCAGGUGCUGUAAGCA